GCUGACGAGUGAAACGAGGCUGCGAUCUCUUGAUCUUGGUGUUCAUUGCGUCCGAAAAGAUCGCAGCCUCGUUUCACUCGUCAGC
RNAcentral lists this unclassified non-coding RNA (85 nucleotides) under Pseudomonas moraviensis. Lineage: Bacteria; Pseudomonadati; Pseudomonadota; Gammaproteobacteria; Pseudomonadales; Pseudomonadaceae. The record is from RNAcentral.